CCGAGUUUCCAACUCCCAAACCCCUGUGAACAUACCUAUCGUUGCUUCGGCGGGACCGCCCCGGCGCCCCCGGGCCCGGACCCAGGCGCCCGCCGGAGGUCCCCAACCCCUGUCUCUGCCGAGUAUCUUCUGAGUGAUACAAGCAAAUAAAUCA
This 154-nucleotide unclassified non-coding RNA is filed under the name uncultured Nectriaceae. RNAcentral describes it as "sequence contains ITS1". Lineage: Eukaryota; Fungi; Ascomycota; Sordariomycetes; Hypocreales; Nectriaceae. The record is from RNAcentral.